GGCGACCUUCCUCAUCGCUCCGGCUUGAGAAAUCGCCAAGUAACCGAUUCGCUUCACCAGAGCCUCCGCUAGAUUCAGAUCGUUCUGCUGUACAGCUUCGGCACAAGCCAUCAGAGCAUGAACCAGUUGAAUUCCAUUCUCCUGCGAAUCGACGAGGACGACCGGGCGAGUUACAGAAUCGGAAGCCCCAAUCGCCGAGGUGGAGAACAAGUCCGAGUCCGACUCAGAGGAUUUCAAACGUUUAUUCUCU
This 250-nucleotide unclassified non-coding RNA is filed under the name Hevea brasiliensis (rubber tree). Lineage: Eukaryota; Viridiplantae; Streptophyta; Magnoliopsida; Malpighiales; Euphorbiaceae. The record is from RNAcentral.